AGUGAACGCUGGCGGUAGGCCUAACACAUGCAAGUCGAACGGCAGCACAGUAAGAGCUUGCUCUUACGGGUGGCGAGUGGCGGACGGGUGAGGAAUACAUCGGAAUCUACUUUUUCGUGGGGGAUAACGUAGGGAAACUUACGCUAAUACCGCAUACGACCUACGGGUGAAAGCAGGGGAUCUUCGGACUUUGCGCGAUUGAAUGAGCCGAUGUCGGAUUAGCUAGUUGGCGGGGUAAAGGCCCACCAAGGCGACGCUCCUUAGCUGGUCUGAGAGGAUGAUCAGCCACACUGGAACUGAGAGACGGUCCAGACUCCUACGGGAGGCAGCAGUGGGGAAUAUUGGACAAUGGGCGCAAGCCUGAUCCAGCCAUACCGCGUGGGUGAAGAAGGCCUUCGGGUUGUAAAGCCCUUUUGUUGGGAAAGAAAAGCAGCAGGUUAAUACCCCGCUGUUCUGACGGUACCCAAAGAAUAAGCACCGGCUAACUUCGUG
RNAcentral lists this ribosomal RNA (492 nucleotides) under uncultured bacterium. RNAcentral's name for it is "partial 16S ribosomal RNA". It matches the Rfam family "Bacterial small subunit ribosomal RNA", at positions 29 to 507 of the family's 1533-position model. The record is from RNAcentral.